UAUCUGAUCUGAUGGGGCCUGUGUAUCAUCUCUCUUUUCCCCUUGUCAAAGAGGGCUGGGCAACAAAAAUGUCGCAUCACGUGCACCACACGAGUUCAUUACAGAUAAAUUGAAAUUGAAACCCCUCAAUUUUCUGCCACACUUGGUACAUUAUACUCUCUCCCUCUCUCGAUCCAGAUUCUCUUAAAGUGCAAGGGUUUGUUUGGUGUUUAUUUUUGGAAAAAAAGUAAAGCAUUUGUGCAAUUUGCCGAUAUGAAACUCACCGUGAAAACCCUCAAAGGAAGCCAUUUCCAGAUUAGGGUUCAGCCCAAUGACACCGUUAGUUACUCUCUUUUUCUCUCUAUAUGUGUGUAUUUUGUUAAAUUGUGUGAAUGUGAAAGUUUUGAAUUUUUUUUACUCUUAUGUAAUUCAGUACGAUUUAUUUUUUUUUAAAAGAAAAAAUUUGUGUAUGCAUCUGGAUGAUAAUGUUUUAGACAAACUAAUGUAAUUUUGGUUUUUUAAUUUCUUUGAAUUUUAUAAGAUUUUGUGCUGGGGCUAUUGCAUUGAUUCGUGGGUAAGAAUUUAAUUUGACAGCGGUCGCACGCCAUUAAAGAAUCAAGUCGGAUUACCUUUGGUAUUCAUAGUAGUUCUUCUUUGUGUGCCCUCUUUUUCUUGUAGAAGAAGCAACUUUAUAGGAAGAAAUUGAAUUGAGAUCUCUUGUUUGUCAUGUACCAGUUUUCCUGUGUGUUACCAUAUGUUUGCUUUUGACUUUUGCGUAGUUUAGUUUCUCUUUCACCGAAACAAACGUGUUUAUAAAAUAUAUUGACCAAUUUCUUAUGUGUCAUGCAAUAAAUUUUGGAAGGUCCUUAUUCCCUCGGGAGAGAGUUUAAAAUAAAGUUGCUAAGAAUGAAAUAGGAACCUCGGACUUUAUGGAAUUGAAUUGAGAAGCUAUUUUCCUCAUUUUUCAUAAUCUGCUCACACUUAGUCAUGUUUUGUCCUCAUUUUCUAAAACUUGUUUUUCCUUAACUUAUAUUCAACCACACAUUUUAUGGGCCCACAACUUUUAAUCAACUUUUAUCGAAAUCUACUAAAAAUUGAAUUUUUAUCUAAACUAAACAAGGGCGUAGAAUAAUCCAAAAUUUGCCUAGAGAUUCAAGUGUAGUGGCCAGUGCUUUAUCAGAAGCAAUAAAUCAAUCUUUAGAUGCCUUCAUAAAUGUUAUGCCAUCGAGCAAUGAUGUGAUCCUUUAUGCCUUUACUGACACUAAAUUUUUUAAGUAAUUAUGUCACCCCUACAACCCAUAUUCUACUUUCUCACUCAUGCUCUUGAAUUUGAGGGGACGGGUAGCUCGUCCAUAAAAAUGAGAAAUCAAAUUUUUUUGGCUUGUUACUUUUGAGAAACAACGAGCUUUGACUGACGUUUUUCUAAUGCCUUUUUUUGUCGAUAAAACAGCACAAUGUAUGCCCUUAUUUAUUGGCUAGACUAGGGAUCAGAUCUUUAUAAUUUCCUUAAUUUCUGUCUCCUGUUAAGGAAGCAGCACAAUCUCAUAUAGGCUUAUCAACUAGUUAAUUAGAUGAGUGCGUGCAUUAUUGUUGUCAUUGUAAGUUAAAGUUAAUUGUUCAUUUAUACUUAGUUUCUUAAAAAUAGAUGCAGGUGCACCAAAUUAAGUUAGCCAUGCAUAACAUUCUUAUGAUAUAAAGUUAUUUAACCUCGUAAAUUGUAAUCUAAGAAGUCUGAGCAAUAUAGUGUAUAAUUUAGGAGACCACAAAAGUGUAAUUAUUUCAGAAGUAGGAUUUAGAAUCAAAACUGUAUAUUUUGUUAAAUUUCUGAUUUUUGUGAUUAAAGAUUUGGAUUUGUAGAUGUAAUAAUAAUUUUGUAAAAUUGCAUAUGACUUUCUAGAUUAUUUAAACUCGUUUUGAUACAUCUGUGUGUUGAUUGAUUUGUGAUUGGGUUUUUAUUGUACAAGAUUAUGGCGGUCAAGAAGAAUAUCGAGGAUGUACAAGGCAAAGACAAUUAUCCAUGUGGUCAGCAAUUGUUGAUCCAUAAUGGGAAAGUACUAAAAGAUGAAAGUACGUUGGCUGAAAACAAAGUCUCUGAAGAUGGGUUUCUAGUAGUAAUGCUAAGCAAGGUAAGAGCCUGGUCAUCCUUUUGAAUCUUAGACUGCAUUGUUCCAUGCGUUUUCAUAGUUCAAAGAUUCGUGUUAUUCUUU
Molecule: long non-coding RNA, 2186 nt
Filed under: Olea europaea subsp. europaea
Lineage: Eukaryota; Viridiplantae; Streptophyta; Magnoliopsida; Lamiales; Oleaceae
Source: RNAcentral